This 549-nucleotide unclassified non-coding RNA is filed under the name Hevea brasiliensis (rubber tree). Lineage: Eukaryota; Viridiplantae; Streptophyta; Magnoliopsida; Malpighiales; Euphorbiaceae. The record is from RNAcentral.
AUUCAACGCAAAUAGAUUACAAAUAAUUCAAUAAAAUAAUUGUUUGAGAGGUGAUAAUUGUUUUAAAGUUGAAAAAGUUGGAUAUUAGCAUAUUACAAUUCUUUGACAUGAACAUAACUAUGAAGAGGAUUCAUUCAUUAGAAGGGUUUGAACAAUGAAUGGCUGGGGAAAGCAACAGCAGCAGAAAUAAUGAAUAUAAAGAUUAGAACAUAGAACACAUUAGAUUGAAGUUGCAAAACCAACUGAACCACUGCAAUGGUAAUCUCCAAAUUACACGUGUUUACCAGGGGUGUUGUAUCUCUUCUCACCCAUCUCUUCUCACCCCUAGAUUUUCCACAUCUCAUCUUUUAUGCUAACAACUUUCAUUUGCUUAUGGACAGCCCAUAAAGGAGCAGGAAAAGGCAAGAGACAAAUUUGAGAGAAUGUAUCUGGGAUUAUACAUAUAUAAAAUUUCAAAAUCAUUUUCCCUCAUGGACAAGUGAAUUAUACAUGAAUAAUUUUUUUUUGGAGAAUAUUCUUAGUUACUUAGAAAUUGUCAAUUUCUCUUGU